RNAcentral lists this ribosomal RNA (479 nucleotides) under uncultured bacterium. RNAcentral's name for it is "partial 16S ribosomal RNA". It matches the Rfam family "Bacterial small subunit ribosomal RNA", at positions 28 to 523 of the family's 1533-position model. The record is from RNAcentral.
GACGAACGCUGGCGGCGUGCUUAGCACAUGCAAGUCGAGCGAUGAAGCUUCUUCGGAAGUGGAUUAGCGGCGGACGGGUGAGUAACACGUGGGUAACCUGCCUCAUAGAGGGGAAUAGCCUUCCGAAAGGGAGAUUAAUACCGCAUAAGAUUGUAAUAUCGCAUGAUAUAGCAAUUAAAGGAGUAAUCCGCUAUGUAGAUGGACCCGCGUCGCAUUAGCUAGUUGGUGGGGUAACGGCUCACCAAGGCGACGAUGCGUAGCCGACCUGAGAGGGUGAUCGGCCACAUUCGGACUGAGACACGGCCCAGACUCCUACGGGAGGCAGCAGUGGGGAAUGUUGCACAAUGGGGGAAGCCCUGAUGCAGCAACGCCGCGUGAGUGAUGACGGUCUUCGGAUUGUAAAGCUCUGUCUUCAGGGACGAUAAUGACGGUACCUGAGGAGGAAGCCACGGCUAACUACGUGCCAGCCGCCGCGGUAA